RNAcentral lists this ribosomal RNA (468 nucleotides) under uncultured bacterium. RNAcentral describes it as "partial 16S ribosomal RNA". It matches the Rfam family "Bacterial small subunit ribosomal RNA", at positions 28 to 507 of the family's 1533-position model. The record is from RNAcentral.
GACGAACGCUGGCGGCGUGCUUAACACAUGCAAGUCGAACGGAAAGGCCCUGCUUUUGUGGGGUGCUCGAGUGGCGAACGGGUGAGUAACACGUGAGUAACCUGCCCUUGACUUUGGGAUAACUUCAGGAAACUGGGGCUAAUACCGGAUAGGAGCUCCUGCUGCAUGGUGGGGGUUGGAAAGUUUCGGCGGUUGGGGAUGGACUCGCGGCUUAUCAGCUUGUUGGGGGGGUAGUGGCUUACCAAGGCUUUGACGGGUAGCCCGCCUGGGAGGGUGGCCGGCCACAUUGGGCCUGAGAUACGGCGCAGACUAGUACGGGAGGCAGUAGUGGGGAAUAUUGCACAAUGAGCGGGAGCCUGAUGCAGCAACGCCCCGUGCGGGAUGACGGCCUUCGGGUGGUAAACCGCUUUCGCCUGUGACCAAGCGUGAGUGACGGUAAUGGGUAAAGAAGCACCGGCUAACUACGUG